UUUUACUUAAUAUAUGUGGGGUUUUGGGUCAGGGUCGCUUGAGCAGGUUCUCUGCUAUUUACUUGUGUUCCUUUGGUGGUGAGAGAGGUAGGGGUUGGCCCAGGCUAGGGUGUGGUUGUUUGUUUUGUGAUUGGCUGUGUUGAUCUUUGUUUUCCUGUGUGAGUGGGGUGGGUGGGUGUUUUUGAUCAGGUUAGCCAUAUUGAUUUGUAUGCUGUUGGUAGAUUUUUGUCAUUGUCUUGUUGGGCUGUGUACAGUAUGUGAUAAAGGGGAGCCAUACCGGGGUGAAGGCAUCUUCUUCUAUUUGUCCCCGUUUCAGUUUAUUGGUUAGUUUUUUCUAGUUUGUUUCCCAUACUAUUUGGUACCAUUGGUCCAUGCUUACUCCUGACAGGACUCAGUUUUGAUGUUUCUGGCUGCUGAAAGUAGGUGGGUUAUGAGUUCUUUGGGUUAUAAAUGGGCAUUGUCUUGGAAGAUGUUUAGUAGGGCCAAUUCUCGGUUGAUUUCUAAUACUUGCUUAGUUAUUUUACAUAUUUCUCGUAUGGCUGUUGUCCAGAAUAGUUGAAUUUUGGGGCACUCCCACCACAUGUGGAGGUAUGUGCCUGUGGACGAGCACCCUCUCCAGCAUUUUGGUGAGGAUCCUGGGCAUAUUAGCGCUAGUUUUCUUGUGUUAGGUACCAUCUGGCAAAAAUGUUCUUCUAAACCAGGCAUCCCCAAACUGCGGCCCUCCAGAUGUUUUGGCCUACAACUCCCAUGAUCCCUAGCUAACAGGACCAGUGGUCAGGGAUGAUGGGAAUUGUAGUCCAAAACAUCUGGAGGGCCGAAGUUUGGGGAUGCCAGUUAACUAAUUGGUUGAAGUUGGAGAAAAUUAGCCAGGAGUAUAAAUAAGUGAAGUUGUGAAUGAGCACAAUAAGAAGUUGAAAUCCUGGUCAUCCAAAGUAGCUUUACCUGAAAUGCUAUUCAUCCCAUGUUCAGGGCUACCUAAAUAGGCAGAGCUGAAGGGUUUCCAUGCAUAGAUGAAAUGGUGCUAUCAGGAAGAGGACAUAGAUUUGUUACGGAGCAUUCUGCAGAACAAAGCCAGAUCCGUAUAAAGGGAUGGGCUCCGCUUAAACCAAAAGAUUAUCCAUCUGUUGGUCUUUAAUCAAUUCAGAUUUAUUGCUUAUAACCAUAAGCCAUCACAAUAUAGAACACAGGUGAGGCUGUUAAAUAUAAUACAACAAUAUUGAAGUGUAUUAUUCACCACCUUCCUUGCAUGACAAUCAUGUGUUAUGGCUGCAAACAAGGCUGAACACAUUGCAAAUGAGGUUAACAGAUUCUGGUAAGCUGUUGGGAGAAGUCAGGUUCCCCCACCAUACAAUCUAAUAAAAUAAACAAUUCAGCCCUAAAUAUUGUUCAGCUCAGAGACCUGGUGCUUCCAAAUCUCAGAUGAGCUAGAUUGCAUCCAGAACUUAAUAUCAAAGAAGUGGCAGAGCAUGCCCCUUUGUUAAAGUUUACAUAGAAAGGAAUGGCAAAACAUAAAGGGAACACUUAGCAGCACAGUGCCUGGCAGGGGCUCUUUCCAUCCCACCAAUGAAGUUUUAGUCUCUCUCCUUUCCCUUUUCCCUUGGCAGAUAACAAAUGCAACAGUA
This is a non-coding RNA of Zootoca vivipara (common lizard), 1622 nucleotides long. NCBI's taxonomy places the organism in Eukaryota, Metazoa, Chordata, Lepidosauria, Squamata, Lacertidae. The record is from RefSeq and is a predicted model, not a curated record.